This 2257-nucleotide ribosomal RNA is filed under the name Salmonella enterica subsp. enterica serovar Brunei. Its description in RNAcentral is "partial 23S ribosomal RNA". It matches the Rfam family "Bacterial large subunit ribosomal RNA", at positions 583 to 2824 of the family's 2925-position model. Lineage: Bacteria; Pseudomonadati; Pseudomonadota; Gammaproteobacteria; Enterobacterales; Enterobacteriaceae. The record is from RNAcentral.
CUUUUGGGUGUGACUGCGUACCUUUUGUAUAAUGGGUCAGCGACUUAUAUUCUGUAGCAAGGUUAACCGAAUAGGGGAGCCGGAGGGAAACCGAGUCUUAAUUGGGCGUUAAGUUGCAGGGUAUAGACCCGAAACCCGGUGAUCUAGCCAUGGGCAGGUUGAAGGUUGGGUAACACUAACUGGAGGACCGAACCGACUAAUGUUGAAAAAUUAGCGGAUGACCUGUGGCUGGGGGUGAAAGGCCAAUCAAACCGGGAGAUAGCUGGUUCUCCCCGAAAGCUAUUUAGGUAGCGCCUCGUGAAUUCAUCUCCGGGGGUAGAGCACUGUUUCGGCUAGGGGGCCAUCCCGGCUUACCAACCCGAUGCAAACUGCGAAUACCGGAGAAUGUUAUCACGGGAGACACACGGCGGGUGCUAACGUCCGUCGUGAAGAGGGAAACAACCCAGACCGCCAGCUAAGGUCCCAAAGUCAUGGUUAAGUGGGAAACGAUGUGGGAAGGCCCAGACAGCCAGGAUGUUGGCUUAGAAGCAGCCAUCAUUUAAAGAAAGCGUAAUAGCUCACUGGUCGAGUCGGCCUGCGCGGAAGAUGUAACGGGGCUAAACCAUGCACCGAAGCUGCGGCAGCGACGCUGAUGCGUUGUUGGGUAGGGGAGCGUUCUGUAAGCCUGCGAAGGUGGCCUGUGAGGGUUGCUGGAGGUAUCAGAAGUGCGAAUGCUGACAUAAGUAACGAUAAAGCGGGUGAAAAGCCCGCUCGCCGGAAGACCAAGGGUUCCUGUCCAACGUUAAUCGGGGCAGGGUGAGUCGACCCCUAAGGCGAGGCCGAAAGGCGUAGUCGAUGGGAAACGGGUUAAUAUUCCCGUACUUGGUGUUACUGCGAAGGGGGGACGGAGAAGGCUAUGUUGGCCGGGCGACGGUUGUCCCGGUUUAAGCGUGUAGGUGUGUGUUCCAGGUAAAUCCGGUUCACUUUAACACUGAGGCGUGACGACGAGGCACUACGGUGCUGAAGCAACAAAUGCCCUGCUUCCAGGAAAAGCCUCUAAGCAUCAGGUAACAUCAAAUCGUACCCCAAACCGACACAGGUGGUCAGGUAGAGAAUACCAAGGCGCUUGAGAGAACUCGGGUGAAGGAACUAGGCAAAAUGGUGCCGUAACUUCGGGAGAAGGCACGCUGACACGUAGGUGAAGUGAUUUACUCACGGAGCUGAAGUCAGUCGAAGAUACCAGCUGGCUGCAACUGUUUAUUAAAAACACAGCACUGUGCAAACACGAAAGUGGACGUAUACGGUGUGACGCCUGCCCGGUGCCGGAAGGUUAAUUGAUGGGGUCAGCGCAAGCGAAGCUCCUGAUCGAAGCCCCGGUAAACGGCGGCCGUAACUAUAACGGUCCUAAGGUAGCGAAAUUCCUUGUCGGGUAAGUUCCGACCUGCACGAAUGGCGUAAUGAUGGCCAGGCUGUCUCCACCCGAGACUCAGUGAAAUUGAACUCGCUGUGAAGAUGCAGUGUACCCGCGGCAAGACGGAAAGACCCCGUGAACCUUUACUAUAGCUUGACACUGAACAUUGAGCCUUGAUGUGUAGGAUAGGUGGGAGGCUUUGAAGCGUGGACGCCAGUCUGCGUGGAGCCGACCUUGAAAUACCACCCUUUAAUGUUUGAUGUUCUAACGUGGACCCGUUACCCGGGUUGCGGACAGUGUCUGGUGGGUAGUUUGACUGGGGCGGUCUCCUCCUAAAGAGUAACGGAGGAGCACGAAGGUUGGCUAAUCCUGGUCGGACAUCAGGAGGUUAGUGCAAUGGCAUAAGCCAGCUUGACUGCGAGCGUGACGGCGCGAGCAGGUGCGAAAGCAGGUCAUAGUGAUCCGGUGGUUCUGAAUGGAAGGGCCAUCGCUCAACGGAUAAAAGGUACUCCGGGGAUAACAGGCUGAUACCGCCCAAGAGUUCAUAUCGACGGCGGUGUUUGGCACCUCGAUGUCGGCUCAUCACAUCCUGGGGCUGAAGUAGGUCCCAAGGGUAUGGCUGUUCGCCAUUUAAAGUGGUACGCGAGCUGGGUUUAGAACGUCGUGAGACAGUUCGGUCCCUAUCUGCCGUGGGCGCUGGAGAACUGAGGGGGGCUGCUCCUAGUACGAGAGGACCGGAGUGGACGCAUCACUGGUGUUCGGGUUGUCAUGCCAAUGGCACUGCCCGGUAGCUAAAUGCGGAAGAGAUAAGUGCUGAAAGCAUCUAAGCACGAAACUUGCCCCGAGAUGAGUUCUCCCUGAGACUUA